CACAACCUCUCCACCAGCCCAAAGGAUUCAAAUGACUGGAACUAGAGGAGGCAUCUUGAGGGUUUGCAUUUUACAGGUGAGAGUUCCAGUAUUUCAAAUGUAGUGUUUAUCCAAUUGCUGGGGGCUCUGGAGAGCUUUUGACAGGUUGAUGUCACUGUGGGCUAGACUGGAUGACCUGCAGCAAAAUAGUAGUGUCCUGAAAUGUGAGGCUGCUCCCUUUGUCUUGUCCUCAUGCUGCCCUGGUUUGUGUUGGUGCAAACACACCCUGUAAAAGACGUUGAAUGUUGGUAGCUUUGUUUAAUUGAAGGAUCUACUCUGGAGCCCUUAGAGUGGUCUGCAUACGAGAUAGGAAUGACACGUUGUACCUAGGUAGGAAGAAAAGCAGCUGUGGUUCACAUUAAAAUGUGAUGGAGAAGGGAGGGAAGUUGCAUUUCAAUUCUUUGAUGUGGGCAAAAGAGUUUGUUCAUUUUCAGAUACAAGAGAAAUAGGAUUUUAAGCAAUGCUUCUUACUUUGAGUAAAAACUCCAUUUACAGCAUCCUCUUUGAACUGCUGCUUAGAUGUUUGUUUCUGGAGCACAUGCAGUGAGUUUGCCAAAUGCUUGGCAAGGGACAGGGGCCUGUUAAAAAUUAACUAGAAACUGAGAUAAAUCACAUACAAAUAGCUCAGGGAGCAUGGUGAAUUCAUCAGUGCCUCAUGCAGUUGCUUGUCUCACAGCUGCCCAAAUUCCUUUGUAAUGUGUUUUGGGUUUCUUAGCUUCAAGAUGCCCUGUCCAGCAGUUUCUUCAGGAGAGAAUGUCAGAUGCAUUUCUUUGAGCAGCAUUUUAAUCUGAAGCACAGCAUUUUGUAUGGUAUGAAUGACUGGCCCAAUCUUGCACCCCAGAAGCCAGUGGCAGCUGGGUCCAUAGUGUCUUGCCUGACUGUGGUGGUGGAAAGGGGCCGAGUGAAAAAAGUCCAGGCUUCUGGAAGUCAAAGACCUGUUAAUAAAGCUUCUCCCCUUUGAUAAUGCUGGAUAAUGGAAGCUUUUAACUGUGUUACUGCUUUGAACCAGCUGAUGUUGCAGGUUAGGCUGGUUGACCUGGGUCUCUGUGGCUGUGUGUCAAGAUGACAGUGUGUGGCAGGAGAAUUUGUGAGUUCAAGUGAAUGGCACUUACCUACUCUGGGUGCAUGAUGUAAGCGUUUGCUCUCCUUUCUUAUCUGUCACAUUGAUGAGUUUACUCACCUUUCUUACAGCAGUAAGAAAGUAAUAUGGGUGUGGAGAGGCGCACAGAGAAAAUUUCUACUCGCCCCUUGAAUGUGUUCAGGGAGCUCACAAACAGCCUGACCCCUCACCUGAAAGGCUGGUGGGCAAGGCUUGAGACCAUUGGAGCAGCCUGUGCCUGUUCUGCUGCAGCUCUGUGCAGUUCCCUUAUGAGUGCAAGAUGUUUCUCUUCCCCAAAGGGAGUUGUUGCCACUGAAAUAUGAAGCAGGGGUUGUCUGUAUUGAGUGUCAGGACAGAGCCAUCAUUCCAAGGAUAUUUUAAAUAGCAAGGUUUGAAAAUCCCUCUCACACAAUAUUUUGCGUGCUGCAGGAUUACCUUGUAGUUGCUGUUGGCAGCCUCGGCUGUUGGCAGUGUGGUUUGGAGAUGCUGUAUUCCUAGGCUGUUCCAGGCAGACUGGCUGUUGGAAAACUCACAAGUCAUUGUCAGUUCAGGCCAGAAAUGGAGUCCAGUUCUUUUGCACUUGUGUACUGCUGAGUGCAGUUGCAGGAUUUCUUGCAUGCCCCAUUUGUGCCUCCUGUAGUUUCAUGCGUAGCUGCUUCUUAAAGUGUCAUAGCUCCAAUCUGUCUGCUGCAUGCUCAGGAUAUUGCCCUAUUUGGGGAGUUUGUGUGGUUUGUUACCUGCAGACUCGGACCCAGUGGCAGAACACAGGAUUUCAGUCGGAGCAGCAAGUGCAGAGGGUGGUUACGGAAUGGGUCUCCUCUAGUGAGGGUCUCUCUUUAGGGAGGAAGCAGACUUCCACAUCAGGGAAGGAAAAGGUCCUUAUCUUCAUUAGGGCACAUGAAAGUUUGGAUUUGCCCAAUGUCUUCUUAGUAUCCCAGCUGAUACCUCUGGCAAAACCUGGGAGAAACAUGAAGAGAGUUCCACGCUUUACAGACCACCUGGUCACAGCCAGCCAGAGAGGGGUAGUCAUCAUUGGUGUUUGCUGCAAUCCCAAACACACUCUUUGCACUAAGUGGUACCCUGGGAGGGGAUGGCUGAAUAAAAGAUGAAGAACGGGGUUAUAAAGAACUUGUGUGAGAUGCUGUGGGCUGGCCACAUGGUGACGAAGACAUUCCUUGAUGUACCAGGUAUUUUCUCUGCCUAUUUUUCAUAUUACUGCAAUAUUUUUUUUCAAGUCCCAGUCACGUAUCUUUAUUUGGCAAGCAAAUUACUCCAAUAAAAGCUGGCAGAGCAGUUCACAGUGAAUUUUGUAGUGAGUGUGCCAGGGCUGUUUGCUAAUACAGAGAUGAGCUGCUAGAAUGCUGAGGUCUCCUAACACCCCACAAAACUGCCUGGUGUACCUUGUGAGUAACGAAACAUCACUCAGUUCUAAGAGGCAACCUUCAGUAACAGAGUUCACCCAACUAUAAUAUCUUUAAAAUCAGGAUAGAACCAGUGGCAUAGGAAAAGAGAGUGACUGAAUUGCUCACAGUUUAACGACCCUUUAACUAUGCAAUAAGGAUUCCUGGCUCCUAUGCAAAUUGAUGUGCACCAUAGAGUUGUGGACUUUAUUAUUAGUGAGCAGUUCCAGUGGCUUCAAACCCUGUGUAUUCACUCCAAGAUACAAAUGGCUAAAGGAAUCCCCUAGACAUGCAUGAAUCGUGCAUAUUUGAGAGAGAGUACUCGGCGUUGGGACAGGGAAACUUUGAAGAGCUCCAACUUUGGUCCUCCAACUGUUCCAGGAAACUGAGGUAAGAUGACAACAUUCUUCGAGCCAACUCAACAUCAGAGGGACGGAAGUCAAAGUGUCUCUCUCUUGGACACAUCUCUGAAACCUGUUAAUCAAAUUUCUUGCCUUAGACAGUCUCACAGUUAUUUUCCUAAUUUAAAGUAUAACUGGCACUGCUCAGUACUUAUUUGGGUUUAGUUCUCUAUUUACAUUGUGCUGGAUGUGAGGAUGGUCUUUGCUGAGGAUUCUGGUGGUGUCAUCACCAGCUGAUGUGGCACAAUUGCAUGAGCUCCCAGAUGAGGAGCUCUUGCUUUUGUGCUAGACUUGAACCCAGGGCUGUGAGAUCAAAGCCAGUUUUCAUUGCAAGGCUUUUUUUUCUGUUCUUUGCAGUUCAAAGACACUGGUACUGAACAGGAGUGUAUGCAUGCCACAGUAAUCCUGCUUCACAUGUAAGGGAAUUCUGUCCUGCACUGUUCUGAUAGGGGGAAAAAAAUCUGCUGAGUCCAUUUCUCCAAGUUUUUGAUCUAAAAUGGGGGCAGGGCAACAGGCAAGGGUAGAGGUGAUGUGGUCCCGUUUCUGCUGGGGCACUGUGGUAUCAAAACAAUGAUGAUGUCUUCUUGAAAUUCCUUGAGAGUGUCAAUCUCAAAUUUUAGCACUGGUGUUGUAUACAAAUGCAGUAAAAUAAUUCUCUGAGUACACACUGUACUUUGUCUUUCCAGGUGUUUGCCAAACUCAAAAUGAAUAUAUCAAGAGUAUUCAGGGUAAGAGUCUGAAAUGAGAACAUGGGCUGUUGAAAUGCAUAACAAGAUAAAACCUGGGAGAAAACUGUGACAGAGGACUAUUCCUGGCCUGAAGAGAAGGAAGACCUCAGGCCAUAUUUUCAUCCCUUUUUUGAGGUUCAUAUGGAAAGAGCAGUCCUGGCUGAGGUGCGUGGCCGGAGGGAGCUGCCUGAAAAGAGCCUGUACAGAAAGAGCUGGAGAAGGAUCCUCACAACAGAACCCCUGAGUGACCUCACCUUGUCUAUUCAAAAGAUGGAGAGAAGGCAGCACAGUCACAGCGCAGCCAGGUGUGGAGGUGCCUCUCUGCAAGCAGGAGACAGCUGCCUGUUUUCUCAUCUGCAGGAGGAAGGAGCUCUGCUCUCCCACUCAUUCCCAAGGCUUUUCAAGUGUCACAAAGAGCUCCUGAAGUACUAGAGCAGCCUGUGUGGGGCAAGCCCUGCCCAGCCAGUGAAGACAGCACUUCCAAACAGCCUGGAAAAGGUGCCAGGUCACCUGCUGCGCUGGCAAAUGACUGUGCCAGCAGUGGCAGCAUAAGGCCAGACAGAUGUGACAGGGUAGUGCACAAGGAAAAUGCCCUCGCCCUCCCUCAUCUUAACCUGUACCAUAGUCCCGCCUGAGAGCGCGCUUCCUUCCGCAGGCUGCCAUCCCUCACAUAAUGUGAGCUUUGUGCACUUCAAAGGCUACUCCUUGGGCAUGAAGUAAUCCCAUCAUUACGGGGAGCCAGGGAUGUGUGUCUAAUCCCCAGCACUGCUGGGCAGGCACUGCUGGGGGAAGGGUAGGCAGGAAAGGACAGCAACCUCUCUGUGCCACACCAAAAUCAAUAUACAAAAUACAUCCCACUUCCUGGGACAGCAGAGGUGGGCCAGAGGGCAGGGCUGCUGCUGACCACCAAUGCUGAUGCCAGUCUCCUGUGCUGCAAGCAGCUACUACACACUCCCCUCUAAUGUUUGGUGUAGUGUCACUUUUUACCAUCCCAAAAAAUCCCAUUUUCAGAAGCUUCUGUGUUUGAACAUUUUACUUCCAGUUACUUUUUUCCUAUAUACAGAUUGAUUUUAUUGAAUUCUACUCCAACCUAUAGCAAUCUGAGAGGUUAAACUAGAACAUUAUAUCUGGCAGCAAAACAAAGACUAUGUCCAAUACUUUCUAUAAUUUUGCUAGUGAUAGGGAACUAAUUAUGUUUACAUGGUUGUUUGAAAAAUAAGCUUUGUUUCACCAUAAAUAAAAGCUGUUCUCUAGUCCACUUUUUUCCCCCAGAUUCUUUUAAGGCAAACUUUUGCUGACUAUAUUUACUACUCCUUCAGAGACAUUCCUAUUUUAAAGAUGCCAGCCAUGGUAAAAAUGUAAAUUUUCAAUUGCUCUUUCACAUUGGGAAUCCUCAAUUUUGCUUUUUAUACACAGAAGAGGUGUGGGUGUGAAAUGUAUCCCAGAACUAAAGGGAACAGCAGCUGUGUAAUUUGUCCUGAAGCACAAACUGUCAUCAACCUCAAGCCUGGGUGAUUCUUCAACUGCAGGAUGUGACUGUACACAGAUCACUUACCUGAUG
Long non-coding RNA from Corvus hawaiiensis (hawaiian crow), 5228 nucleotides. RefSeq lists it as uncharacterized. The record is from RefSeq and is a predicted model, not a curated record. Lineage: Eukaryota; Metazoa; Chordata; Aves; Passeriformes; Corvidae. The transcript has 3 exons.